This 397-nucleotide ribosomal RNA is filed under the name uncultured bacterium. RNAcentral describes it as "bacterial SSU rRNA". It matches the Rfam family "Bacterial small subunit ribosomal RNA", at positions 37 to 433 of the family's 1533-position model. The record is from RNAcentral.
UGGCGGCAUGCUUUACACAUGCAAGUCGAACGGCAGCAUAGGUGCUUGCACCUGUAUGGCGAGUGGCGAACGGGUGAGUAAUGCAUCGGAACGUACCGAGUAGUGGGGGAUAACUGUCCGAAAGGAUGGCUAAUACCGCAUACGCUUUGAGAAGGAAAGCGGGGGAUCCUCGGACCUCGCGCUAUUCGAGCGGCCGAUGUCUGAUUAGCUAGUUGGUGGGGUAAUGGCCCACCAAGGCGACGAUCAGUAGCGGGUCUGAGAGGAUGAUCCGCCACACUGGGACUGAGACACGGNCCAGACUCCUACGGGAGGCAGCAGUGGGGAAUUUUGGACAAUGGGCGCAAGCCUGAUCCAGCCAUGCCGCGUGUAUGAAGAAGGCCUUCGGGUUGUAAAGUAC